This 460-nucleotide ribosomal RNA is filed under the name uncultured bacterium. Its description in RNAcentral is "partial 16S ribosomal RNA". It matches the Rfam family "Bacterial small subunit ribosomal RNA", at positions 338 to 795 of the family's 1533-position model. The record is from RNAcentral.
CCUACGGGGGGCAGCAGUGAGGAAUAUUGGUCAAUGGACGAGAGUCUGAACCAGCCAAGUAGCGUGAAGGAUGACUGCCCUAUGGGUUGUAAACUUCUUUUAUAUGGGAAUAAAAUGUUCCACGUGUGGGAUUUUGUAUGUACCAUAUGACUAAGGAUCGGCUAACUCCGUGCCAGCAGCCGCGGUAAUACGGAGGAUCCGAGCGUUAUCCGGAUUUAUUGGGUUUAAAGGGAGCGUAGGUGGAUUGUUAAGUCAGUUGUGAAAGUUUGCGGCUCAACCGUAACAUUGCAGUUGAAACUGGCAGUCUUGAGUACAGUAGAGGUGGGCGGAAUUCGUGGUGUAGCGGUGAAAUGCUUAGAUAUCACGAAGAACUCCGAUUGCGAAGGCAGUUCACUGGACUGCAACUGACACUGAGGCUCGAAAGUGUGGGUAUCAAACAGGAUUAGAUACCCUUGUAGUC